CCAGGACUUUUGAUCCCUGGCUCCGGGAUGGAACGCUGGCGGCGUGCCUAAUACAUGCAAGUCGAACGCUUUGUCCUUUAAUUGAUCUGACCGAGCCUUGCUCUGAAGUGAUUUUAUCUGACAAAGAAGUGGCGAACGGGUGAGUAACACGGUGGGUUAACCUUACCUCUUAGCAGGGGAUAACAUUUGGAAACAAGUGCUAAUACCGUAUAAAUACCAACAACCGCAUGGUUGUUGGUUGAAAGAUGGUUCUGCUGUCACUAAGAGAUGGACCCGCGGUGCAUUAGCUAGUUGGUAAGGUAACGGCUUACCAAGGCAAUGAUGCAUAGCCGAGUUGAGAGACUGAUCGGCCACAAUGGGACUGAGACACGGCCCAUACUCCUACGGGAGGCAGCAGUAGGGAAUCUUCCACAAUGGGCGCAAGCCUGAUGGAGCAACGCCGCGUGUGUGAUGAAGGGUUUCGGCUCGUAAAACACUGUUAUAAGAGAAGAACGGCACUGAGAGUAACUGUUCAGUGUGUGACGGUAUCUUACCAGAAAGGAACGGCUAAAUACGUGCCAGCAGCCGCGGUAAUACGUAUGUUCCAAGCGUUAUCCGGAUUUAUUGGGCGUAAAGCGAGCGCAGACGGUUAUUUAAGUCUGAAGUGAAAGCCCUCAGCUCAACUGAGGAAUGGCUUUGGAAACUGGAUGACUUGAGUGCAGUAGAGGAAAGUGGAACUCCAUGUGUAGCGGUGAAAUGCGUAGAUAUAUGGAAGAACACCAGUGGCGAAGGCGGCUUUCUGGACUGUAACUGACGUUGAGGCUCGAAAGUGGUGGGUAGCAAACAGGAUUAGAUACCCUGGUAGUCCACACCGUAAACGAUGAGUGCUAGAUGUUCGAGGGUUUCCGCCCUUGAGUGUCGCAAGCCUAACGCAUUAAGCACUCCCGCCUGGGGAGUUACCGACCGCAAGCGUUGCAGGUUCAGAGGAAUU
RNAcentral lists this ribosomal RNA (970 nucleotides) under uncultured bacterium. RNAcentral's name for it is "bacterial SSU rRNA". It matches the Rfam family "Bacterial small subunit ribosomal RNA", at positions 1 to 911 of the family's 1533-position model. The record is from RNAcentral.